UACGAAGGGGGCUAGCGUUGCUCGGAAUCACUGGGCGUAAAGCGCACGUAGGCGGCUUUCUAAGUCAGGGGUGAAAUCCUGGAGCUCAACUCCAGAACUGCCUUUGAUACUGAGGAGCUUGAGUCCGGGAGAGGUGAGUGGAACUGCGAGUGUAGAGGUGAAAUUCGUAGAUAUUCGCAAGAACACCAGUGGCGAAGGCGGCUCACUGGCCCGGUACUGACGCUGAGGUGCGAAAGCGUGGGGAGCAAACAGG
RNAcentral lists this ribosomal RNA (253 nucleotides) under uncultured bacterium. Its description in RNAcentral is "partial 16S ribosomal RNA". It matches the Rfam family "Bacterial small subunit ribosomal RNA", at positions 524 to 776 of the family's 1533-position model. The record is from RNAcentral.